Molecule: ribosomal RNA, 323 nt
Filed under: uncultured eukaryote
Lineage: Eukaryota
Description: bacterial SSU rRNA
Rfam family: Eukaryotic small subunit ribosomal RNA
Source: RNAcentral
CAAUAGCGUAUAUUAAAGUUGUUGCAGUUAAAAAGCUCGUAGUCGGAUUUUGGCAUCACGCCGAACUGUCUGCCGAUUGGUAAGUACGGUUUGGCGGGUGCUCUCCUUCCGGAGGCUCGUUCCCUUCUUAAUUGAAGGGUUCGUUGGUUCCGGGUCUUUUACUUUGAAAAAUUAGAGUGUUCAAAGCAGGCAAUCGCUUGAAUACAUUAGCAUGGAAUAAUAGAAUAGGACUUUGGUUCUAUUUUGUUGGUUUCUAGGACCGAGGUAAUGAUUAAUAGGGACAGUUGGGGGCAUUAGUAUUUAAUUGUCAGGGUGGAAUACUU